Molecule: long non-coding RNA, 482 nt
Organism: Zea mays
Lineage: Eukaryota; Viridiplantae; Streptophyta; Magnoliopsida; Poales; Poaceae
Exons: 2
Source: RefSeq, marked validated
GUUCACAACUCUUCCGAGCACGCGGCCGUCUCCUUUGUCAUCAUCAUCAGCUCAGAUCUAGCAGCUUCGCCUUCUCAGAUCUCGCUCACCUUGUAGAUCUCGCUCAGAUUCGUUUGUUCUCGCCAGACGCGCCCACUUCGCAACCGCCGCUGUGCCUAUGCUACCGCAUGGGCCUCUGCGCCUGGGAGGCUUGCGGCUGCCAGGCUUAAGUCACGGGGCAGCAGGAGUUCAGAUUUUUUUUAGGCCUCUGAAACAAGGCUAGCGCAUAUUAGCAUCGAGAGUCAGGAGAGUACGAAUGGGAAGUACCGUCAUAAAAUUAUCUUUGCUACUAGCAAUAGGAAGCACCGUCAUAAAAUUAACUCUGGUAAUAAAAUCGAUUGGAUAUAUAUUGUUUCUAGGAAACUAGGAAGGAUCCCGUGUAGAAAGUGUGGAUAGCUAGCCUUUUUCAUCGGAUCAUUUGGUUUUUUCUUGAAAUAUUUCUU